UACGUAGGGUGCAAGCGUUAAUCGGAAUUACUGGGCGUAAAGCGUGCGCAGGCGGUUUCGUAAGUCUGUCGUGAAAUCCCCGGGCUUAACCUGGGAAUGGCGAUGGAGACUGCGAGGCUAGAGUUUGGCAGAGGGGGGUAGAAUUCCACGUGUAGCAGUGAAAUGCGUAGAGAUCGGGAGGAAUACCCGUGGCGAAGGCGGCCAGCUGGGCUACACCUGACACUGAGACGCGAAGGCGUGGGGAGCGAACGGG
This 253-nucleotide ribosomal RNA is filed under the name uncultured bacterium. RNAcentral describes it as "partial 16S ribosomal RNA". It matches the Rfam family "Bacterial small subunit ribosomal RNA", at positions 524 to 776 of the family's 1533-position model. The record is from RNAcentral.